Molecule: long non-coding RNA, 633 nt
Filed under: Citrus x clementina
Lineage: Eukaryota; Viridiplantae; Streptophyta; Magnoliopsida; Sapindales; Rutaceae
Description: Citrus clementina (C. clementina) long non-coding RNA (CCLE_LNC005322)
Source: RNAcentral
UUUUAAUAUAAAUAGGAAAGCAAAAAAAUCAAAUGGUGCCCUAGCAGCUCAUUACACUUUCCCAGCCGCACAAACAUUUCCUCUGUUAUUCCCUCUUCAGCUCAUCUUCAUCUUCAUCAAAUCAUCGUCGCAUCACUUGCCCAUCUUUGCGGCUGUUCAACAUCAUCAUCAUCAUCAUCAGCCGUCGUUUCUUUAUCUUUUCUGCCGCGACCGAUAACCAGCCGUGAGAGAGAGAACGUGGCUUACUCGAUGACACUUCUCAUGCUUUCAUCUUUUUUCAUCCAGUGUGGCGUGGUGUGGUGAUGUCUUGUCUUUGUUGGCUUUUUGGAAAACUUGUUGCUUUUAAUGGCGUAUUACUUCUUCUGAAUAUCCAAUCAACAUAAACUUAUUUGCAUUACCCCUCCAGCUUUCCCAUCACCAUUAAAAGUGCUUUGGCUGCUCCUUGACUACUGAAUUCCUGCUCGCAACAAAAGCUAGUUCUUUAGCUCUCUUUACUAAUGUUUUGAACGAGUUGCCACAUUGGGUUGCUGAUUCUGGGCAGCCAAACAAAAUUGUUGUUUUUGUUAAUUAGUUUCCAGAUGAAAUAAUUUUUCUUUAAUUUGCUGAAAUCCUAGAUAUGUAUUUCUAUUUGAU